UGGACAGAUGCUGACUCCAAGGCCUGGAUUGGCCUGAUUCUGUCCCUGUUGUGUGGCCUCCUCUCCAUAACCUCCACCCCACUUGGUGUCAAAUACACUCAGGAGGACCUGUGCAGCCCUGCUGCCCUCUGAUCACAGGUUGUGGUCCCCUCCCUCUUGUCCCACUCUGGACUCUGCCCCCAGUAAACAGGUCAGAACUUCGUGGCUGACUUCAUG
This 216-nucleotide long non-coding RNA is filed under the name Homo sapiens (human). RNAcentral describes it as "HSALNT0243169". Lineage: Eukaryota; Metazoa; Chordata; Mammalia; Primates; Hominidae. The record is from RNAcentral.